NNNNGUGAGGGCGAUCUGGCUGUGACACCUGUCACCCCAUGGAUCGCCAGGGUUGACUUGGCUGAUCUGGCUGGCUAGGCGGGUGUCCCCUUCCUCCCUCACCACUCCACGUGCGUCCCUCCCGAAGCUGCGCGCUCGGUGGAAGAGGACGACCUUCCCCGAUAGAGGAGGACCGUUCUUCCGUCAAGGGUAUACGAGCAGCUGCGCUCCCCUGCUAGAACCUCCAAACAAGCUCUCAAGACAGACAGACAAGGAUACUCGUGUUUAUACUAUCUCCUCCACUAGAGGAAGGGGAGCAGGUGUGAGUCCAGGGGAAAAGGGACUUACCUUCUGCAGCGCCUUGUCC
This 346-nucleotide small nuclear RNA is filed under the name Tursiops truncatus (common bottlenose dolphin). RNAcentral's name for it is "7SK RNA (ENSTTRG00000023879.1)". The stretch from base 1 to 301 matches the Rfam family "7SK RNA". Rfam says of the family: 7SK was discovered as an abundant small nuclear RNA in the mid-70s but a possible function has only recently been suggested. Two independent studies have found that 7SK RNA binds the CDK9/cyclin T complex (known as elongation factor P-TEFb). P-TEFb activates transcription by phosphorylating the C-terminal domain of RNA polymerase II. Lineage: Eukaryota; Metazoa; Chordata; Mammalia; Artiodactyla; Delphinidae. The record is from RNAcentral.